AAGUCGUAACAAGGUUUCCGUAGGUGAACCUGCGGAAGGAUCAUUACCGAGAUAGGGUCCCUCAGGGCCCGAACCUCCCACCCAUUGUUUACUUACCUUUGUUGCUUUGGCGGGCCGCUAGGCUCGCCAGAGGCCCUACAAACUCUGAAUGUCAGUGUCGUCUGAGUACUAUACAAUAGUUAAAACUUUCAACAACGGAUCUCUUGGUUCUG
This 212-nucleotide unclassified non-coding RNA is filed under the name Oidiodendron sp. RNAcentral's name for it is "partial contains small subunit ribosomal RNA, internal transcribed spacer 1, and 5.8S ribosomal RNA". The stretch from base 1 to 46 matches the Rfam family "Eukaryotic small subunit ribosomal RNA", at positions 1786 to 1831 of the family's 1831-position model. Lineage: Eukaryota; Fungi; Ascomycota; Leotiomycetes; Myxotrichaceae. The record is from RNAcentral.